AGCGAACGCUGGCGGCGUGCUUAACACAUGCAAGUCGAGUGCGCGGUUCGUAGCAAUACGAACUGGCGCACGGCGCACGGGUGAGGAACACGUGGGCAACAUGCCCUCCGAUGGGGAAUAACCCGCCGAAAGGCGGGCUAAUACCGCAUACGAUUCCGGGGACCUCAGUUCCUGGACUGAAAGCCCGCAAGGGCGUCGGUGGAGUGGCCCGCGGCCGAUUAGCUUGUUGGCGGGGUAACGGCCCACCAAGGCAAUGAUCGGUAGCCGGUCUGAGAGGAUGAUCGGCCACACUGGAACUGAGACACGGUCCAGACUCCUACGGGAGGCAGCAGUGGGGAAUCUUGCGCAAUGGGCGAAAGCCUGACGCAGCGAC
Molecule: ribosomal RNA, 373 nt
Filed under: uncultured bacterium
Lineage: Bacteria
Description: bacterial SSU rRNA
Rfam family: Bacterial small subunit ribosomal RNA
Source: RNAcentral